UGCUGCCACACCUGCCAGCAAUCAACUUCAUCUCUGCCAGUAUUUCAACCCUGGUUCUCCACACACUCUCUCCUUGAUCGUCGUCGCUCCUGACUGGAUGCCACUGCAGUUCACUCCCCUCCGUCCACCAUCUGUCAGCUGGGCUCACCUACCUGCCUUCUCCCUUAUGGCUUUCUCCACGGUCUCCUGCUUCUCUCAGCCCUCUCGCCACAGCCCCACCUGCUCCUCGGUCCUCCGCGCCCACGUUCCCCAGUGUCCACCUCUCCUUCUUCUCUAACCCCUCUGUCCCCCCUUUUCCCUUAAUAAACCAGUUCUAAUCUGA
Micropterus dolomieu (smallmouth bass) is the source of this 322-nucleotide long non-coding RNA. RefSeq lists it as uncharacterized. The record is from RefSeq and is a predicted model, not a curated record. NCBI's taxonomy places the organism in Eukaryota, Metazoa, Chordata, Actinopteri, Centrarchiformes, Centrarchidae. The transcript has 2 exons.